This 253-nucleotide ribosomal RNA is filed under the name uncultured bacterium. Its description in RNAcentral is "partial 16S ribosomal RNA". It matches the Rfam family "Bacterial small subunit ribosomal RNA", at positions 524 to 776 of the family's 1533-position model. The record is from RNAcentral.
GACGGAGGAUGCAAGCGUUAUCCGGAAUGAUUGGGCGUAAAGCGUCCGCAGGUGGCAGUUCAAGUCUGCUGUCAAAGACCGGGGCUUAACUUCGGAAAGGCAGUGGAAACUGAACAGCUAGAGUAUGGUAGGGGCAGAGGGAAUUCCUGGUGUAGCGGUGAAGUGCGUAGAUAUCAGGAAGAACAUCGGUGGCGAAGGCGCUCUGCUGGACCAUAACUGACACUCAGGGACGAAAGCUAGGGGAGCGAAUGGG